AUGAUAAGAGUUGCAGAUCCACUAUUCCCUUGUUCUAAACUCUCAAAAGCAUGUGUUGUCGUGGCAGCAGCAAUGGAGGUCUCCAAGGCCCCUUCCUCUUCUGGUUUGGCAACCCACCAGCCCUCCAAAGGUUAUGCCAAUGCGGUUUGCUUCGAUGUGGAUUGCACUGUAUGCUUGGAUGAGGGUAUUGACGAGCUUGCUCGUUUCAGUGGGGUUGGGCAGGCGAGUACCGAGUGGACGACAAAGGCAAUGACAGGGACCGUUCUAUUUGAAGAGGCUCUUGCUGCCUGGAUCUCUUUAAUUAAGAUAUCUCUGUCCCAAGUUGAGGACUGUUUGGAGAAGAGGCCACCGCGGAUUUCUCCUGGAAAUGAUGAUUUUAUUAAUACACUAAAAGUCAAUAAUACUGAAGUAUUACUUGUAUCCGGAGGUUUCCGACAAAUGAUCAAGCAUUUGGCGUUUGGUCUUGGGAUUCCUACUGAAAACAUCAUAGCAAACCAAUUGUUAUUUGGAUCAUCUGAUUUUUGA
Molecule: ribosomal RNA, 525 nt
Filed under: Triticum aestivum (bread wheat)
Lineage: Eukaryota; Viridiplantae; Streptophyta; Magnoliopsida; Poales; Poaceae
Description: partial small subunit ribosomal RNA
Source: RNAcentral